RNAcentral lists this ribosomal RNA (259 nucleotides) under uncultured bacterium. RNAcentral's name for it is "partial 16S ribosomal RNA". It matches the Rfam family "Bacterial small subunit ribosomal RNA", at positions 524 to 776 of the family's 1533-position model. The record is from RNAcentral.
UACGAAGGGGGGCUAGCGUUGUUCGGAAUUGACUGGGCGUAAAGGGCGCGUAGGCGGUGUGUCAAGUCAGGCCGGUGAAAGCCCCGGGCUCAACCUGGGAACCGCGCUUGAGACUGGCACGCUCGAGUUCGGGAGAGGAUGGUGGAAUUCCCAGUGUAGAGGUGAAAUUCGUAGAUAUUGGGAAGAACACCGAUGGCGAAGGCAGCCAUCUGGACCGACACUGACGCUGAGGCGGCGAAAAGCGUGGGGAGCAAACAGG